This 450-nucleotide ribosomal RNA is filed under the name uncultured bacterium. Its description in RNAcentral is "partial 16S ribosomal RNA". It matches the Rfam family "Bacterial small subunit ribosomal RNA", at positions 354 to 796 of the family's 1533-position model. The record is from RNAcentral.
GUGGGGAAUUUUGGACAAUGGGCGCAAGCCUGAUCCAGCAAUGCCGCGUGUGUGAAGAAGGCCUUCGGGUUGUAAAGCACUUUUGUCCGGAAAGAAAUCUCCUGGGUUAAUACCUCGGGGGGAUGACGGUACCGGAAGAAUAAGCACCGGCUAACUACGUGCCAGCAGCCGCGGUAAUACGUAGGGUGCGAGCGUUAAUCGGAAUUACUGGGCGUAAAGCGUGCGCAGGCGGCUAUGCAAGACAGAUGUGAAAUCCCCGGGCUCAACCUGGGAACUGCAUUUGUGACUGCAUGGCUAGAGUGCGUCAGAGGGAGGUGGAAUUCCGCGUGUAGCAGUGAAAUGCGUAGAGAUGCGGAGGAACACCGAUGGCGAAGGCAGCCUCCUGGGAUGACACUGACGCUCAUGCACGAAAGCGUGGGGAGCAAACAGGAUUAGAAACCCUUGUAGUCC